Non-coding RNA from Myotis lucifugus (little brown bat), 75 nucleotides. Lineage: Eukaryota; Metazoa; Chordata; Mammalia; Chiroptera; Vespertilionidae. The record is from Rfam.
GACAGUUGUUGGGUGAUGUGCCUUGGAAUUGGGCUCCUUCCUCUUUGGUUCUGGGUGCAUCACCCAAGAACCACA